Molecule: ribosomal RNA, 505 nt
Filed under: uncultured bacterium
Lineage: Bacteria
Description: partial 16S ribosomal RNA
Rfam family: Bacterial small subunit ribosomal RNA
Source: RNAcentral
GACGAACGCUGGCGGCGUGCCUAAUACAUGCAAGUAGAACGCACAGUUUAUACCGUAGCUUGCUACACCAUAGACUGUGAGUUGCGAACGGGUGAGUAACGCGUAGGUAACCUGCCUGGUAGCGGGGGAUAACUCUUGGAAACGAUAGCUAAUACCGCAUAAUAUUAAUUAUUGCAUGAUAAUUAAUUGAAAGGUGCAAUUGCACCACUACCAGAUGGACCUGCGUUGUAUUAGCUAGUAAGUGAGGUAACGGCUCACCUAGGCGACGAUACAUAGCCGGCCCUAGAGGGUGAUCGGCCACACCGGGACUGAUGCACGGCCCCGACUUCGUCGGGAGGCAGCAGUAGGGAAUCUUCGGCAAUUGACGAAAGUCUGACCGAGCCACGCCGCGUGAGUGAAGAAGGUUUUCGGAUCGUAAAGCUCUGUUGUAAGAGAAGAACGGGUGUGAGAGUUGAAAGUUCACACUUUGACGGUACCUUACCAGAAAGGGACGGCUAACUACGUG